AGAAAUGAGAUUUGGGGAACAAAGUCAAUUGAUGCGCUCUUAAAGGGAGAAGACAGGAGCUUUGCGCUUAGAGAAGUCCCUUGGCCGGACAGAGCGCAUCUUCUUUUGCUCAUUUUUCAGGGCCUUGCCUUGUUGGCCUACCAAAUAAACAGGCUUUUUUUGAUUGAUUCGCUUACGGGUCAUUAACUAAAGACCUUGAAGUCGUGACCCAUGAGCUAGCUGAGGAAAGCGAUAUCGCGCGUAGACAUCAAGCCGUAGCGCGCGAACCAGCAACCCCUCUUUAUGAUGCUUUCCACUCUUUCGAGAGGAUUCAGUUAUUGAGUCGGUGAGCUGAUCUCGCCUUUUAUCUGGACAUUGUGAGUUCUCCCGAUCAUGACGACGAAGCGAGUGAAGGGUAGCACUGAACUGGCAAAGAGAAUGAAUGAGAUUAUGGGGCUCCGGUUCCAUCGAUUUUGACUUCAUUUUACUUAAUAGAAAGAGGUUGCAAAAAAGGAAGAGAAUGGAUCCACUCAAAAAACUUUGUUCGGAAUCUAACUCAGAGAGGCAGUGUUGAGUCCAUGCAGACUCUAAAUUCGUCUAGCGCUUCAAACCAUAUUGGAUUACUAGAUAAAGAGCGAGUGAUCACCCAUGAGGAAAUGGGCAUUGUCUAAAUCCCUGUUUUAAGAAGUUGAAAGAACGUUUUCGCCGUAUCCUUUACAAGCUUUUACACGAAGCAAUGAAUGAGUUGCUCGACGGCAUUCAUCUGUCUUUUCAGUAAAGCGAGUCUUUCAAGUAAGCCCGCCUAACAUGAAAGUCAAGCCUUUCACUUCAUUGUUCAAGUCCUGCCUUCAGAGAAAAGGGUACAGGUCGGUUUGUUGUUUCGAAAGAUUCUCGCACACGAUUCAGUCUGCCUCUGUCAAAUAAAUAAAGUGGAUGGAGAGCCUUCUUAUCCUUUUAGGUCCGACCUCUCUCUUCCACUUUCCACCCCCCUAAGCUUUACUAAAAGGAGGGUCAUCAACACCGUCAGAACCUCGCAUUUGCGGCUAAGUGUCCCUCCGCGGUAAGGAAUUGAUUUUCUUUCUUUCCCUGCAGUGCUAUAGUGCGCUUGGACUCUAUCUCCGCUGUCUGGCUUUCAUGAAGAAAGAUUGAAAGCGUCCUCUUCGAGCGACUGCGUACCUCAUGUCAAAGAUGUUCGUGUACUUUAGAAUUCGAAAUAGGACUGUUAGCGCUGGUCUCUAGCCACCUAGAACUACCAGAGACUCGAUCCACCUCAGGAACAUUCAAAAGACUAAAGCCACCUGAAACUCACUGAUUGUCUCAUGCCACCUCGGAAGAGAAGACAUAUUCUCAGACAGAAAAGAAAGGACUUACCACUUGGCCACACUCAGAAGCCGGAGUCUGAGCUAGUAGCUAGCCUCAGGUAUAGAACUGGAGUUCUCUAUCAGGGAAUUCCAGGAGUGAAAUAGUAUGGUUUGAUAGAACCAGGUAGUAGUUGGUCGGAAAGGAAGAGAAAGAUACUCCAACGGACUCGGGCAAUCCCUUUACGAAUCAAAGGGAUUGGGCUGAUUGACCCCAGGUUCCGGGACGAUAAUCAGGUAAACAGUUGAAGUACCAAAGAGCGGUCCCAAGGGACGGAAUCAAGGAAGCAAACUAAGAGCCAAAGCUCUUAGCCUCCUAAUAUGAGGAUUCGUCUCACUAAAUGAGUUGAACUGAGUUCAACGAAUCCUCAGAUUCCUUAUAUGUUCAACUCAUUUCGAGUGACAAAUGUUCCUCAGAUUCCUCAUCUCUUGGGCUUUCUCCGGUUGACGUUGAAGCCAAAGAAACGGGGGGGAAGGGCACAAAACGUAGUUACCACACCCAUUCCCAUUCCAUUAUUGAUUCGAAUAGCUAAGCGAAGGCUUAAUUGAAUGGACGAGUAAGGGAAUACGAGCUCCUUCAUCUCCUUAUAUACGUCGCCAUGUUCGUUGACGGCCGAAUAAGAAGGGGGCCAAACAGCCACUUGACGGAAGUUUUAGGGGUGAGAGCAGACCCCGAAUAGGGUGAAGGGGAUGCCUCAUUGGCAGCCGAGAGCAGCCUAUUCUGUCUGUAGCAGCUUCUUCUUUCAAAGGCAAAGGCCUUUAUAGACUCGUACAAAGAAGAAAAUAAGUUCCAUGACAUGGCACUUGCGAGGGAGUUUAGUUCAUAACCUCGUAGGCCGGGAAUGCCAUCAAGAACCCUUUUCCUCUCGGUCUCAGUGUCAGCCAAGUUAGCAUCGGCUCCAUCAUUUGAAGCUUAUGACAUUGAUGAGUGAUCCAACAGUCUUGAGUGGCAGUUCUCCAAGGAGAAGGGAUCCCAGGUAGGAGAGCCAGCCGGGCCAGGGGAAAGAGGUAGUCAAAGACUACCCGGGAGUAGGUUCUGGAAUUUAUUCAGAGUUGCCACUCCUCAAUCUUCGAAAUUCCAGCGAUAGAGGACUUGAUACUUAUCUUCGACAAGCCUUGAUCUGUGCUGAAGACAGAUUCUCUUAUCGGCUGAGGAAAUAGGUAGCCACCCAUUCUUCCUUUCCGACCUUAGCUUAGCUGCUCACGCCAAUGCUCAUGGGUAUGGGGCAAUAACUGCUGCUACUGUUAUACUCCCACACUAUAAGAGACGGCUCAUCUUCUAUCUAAGACCUCCUCAAUGAGAGGAUGCCUGAAUGCUACUUUCGUCUACGUAUGGCUUAUAUUAUAUAAGCAAUCCUCCUUCUAUGGUCUUAGGCCCAGUUUCUUUCAACUAAGAUUUAUACUAAGCUUCCUCCCCCUGAAGCCUGAGUCAAAGAAUCCGUCGAUUCCAAUUCCACUAUAGGAAGUGCUGUUAUGAUCGAUUUUCCUUCUCCUCUUCAUUAAUAGCCUGGGAACUUAGAUUCUGAAUUAGAGUAUGGCAGGUCCGUCUUUGACCUUUGACCUUUGACCGGUUCGGGUUCGGGACUCGUUCUAUGACCGUACUCCUAUGUUUUGGGAGUCUGAGAAAGCUCUUCGUCCGCAUUCGCCAAGCCUAACAAGCCUUGGAAGUCGGCUAAGGCGCAAUGCUCCCUAUUUUCCGUGCUAGCUUUUGGGUCUGCUAGCGCUUCGAUGCUUUCGAUUCUUCUUUCCUAGGCUAUUUCGUACGUGUAAGCUUUCGAAGUCGUAUAUCGAAUGAGUGGAUAUUCCCACAUCCUCCCUUCAUGCUAAGACCACUUUGUGUACUGCGUCUUCUAUCGCUAUCUACGGUGAUUCUCCCGUCUAACCGGAGUGAGGACUCAGCAUGAAUAGCCGGACGCGAGAGAAAGACAAAAACAAGGCUUCUCGCGGCCCUAUCGAAUCCGUUCCCGAGUGAAGGUCACUUCACAAGUUGCCUUCUCUGGUCUUGCGGCGCACUCACUCCCUUUCCUUCCGCUCACUUCUGGACCCUUCGCUCCCGGUUAGUGCUCUUUGGCCCGGUCUAUUCUGUCUGAUAUGAUAUCAUAUAGCCAGGAAAAAGGGAUCUACUAGUCAUCGCCUUUGAGCUGGUAUUACCUGGAGUCGGCUAUUCCUGAUUCAGCAAAGGAAAGAAACCUUGAUCCCAAGACUAGCACUGACUCUAUUAUGAGACCUCCCUCUGUCGCAAUAGAAAUCGAGAAUGGAGGUGACUUCGCUACACUUGUUUAUAGUUGGAAAUUCCAACUCGAAGGCCCUAGUACUACUGACUUUGCACCAGAAACAAUUGAAGCCUUUUUUCGGCAUCCCUUCUCAGACGUCUUAUUCCUUGCCUUAGUAAUGUGCAAUCAGCUACUUGGCACCUUCCCUUAUUCUCCCUCCUUUCCCUUCCUUGCAAAGGUCUUAUAAGGCGAUGACCCUACUUACACGAUAUGAGAAUGGUUCGACACUUUCAACCCCAUAACCCACUUCCAAGACUUUAGGACUAACUGGAUUUCUUUCGACUUAGUUCUCUGUUCGUCUCGGGUACUCGCUCUGCUAAUUGGUAUGAUAACCAGUAAAGGGAAGGUACAUAGUCAUCUUUUCCAGAGCACCCUAAACCGUAACAGCAAGACCAACGGAUAUGACCAAAAAUUCCUUGUCACGAGCUUGGCUUUGGGGACAGUUUCACCGACCUAAGAACCAUUUCCUUUAGCAGCGGCGGAGGAUAUUAUAUAAAAGCAAAGAAGAGAGCGAAGCUCCUCUCCAACCAGUCAAGUGGCCCAAGGGCCACCUUUCCUGGAUUAGAAAGAAAGCUACUAACAGUACCGUGCAAUAUCUGGCCUAGUGCAAACCAUGGCAUACAUCAAACUACCAACUGCAUAAGAAUAAGGAACAAGAGACAUUUCCUUCUUCUCUUCAUCAGUUGAUGGACUUGACUUUUUCUUUAGCCUCUCGGCUUCGAGAAGCCGUGGGCCCAGUAGUGCUUUCUUAAAGCCUGUAACCCGCUCGACGUAAGAACCGAUCUCAAGCUGGAUGAGAAGGGAAAUAAAGACUAGUGAGAAUAGCCGUAAUUCAACUAGGCCUUGAAUCAGUGGUUUACAGAGACAAUUAGUCAUCUGCUUACGGCUAAUCUGCUCUUCGAAUCGUCAUCUUAGAAUAGGUUGGAACUAUUUCAAGAUGAUAGGCUUAUUCUGAAAGUACGCAUUUCUUGCUCUAAGUCCGCUGGGUUGGAUCGAACUAGUAGGUUUGGCAGGAAGAUAAUGGCAUAAAAGAAGCAUUCCACUUUUGGAAAGAGAAGAGUCAGUCUGAUUAUAGAUCCCUCUGUCUUGCAUUGGGUUAACUGGAGCUUAGAUAAAGCGAUAGGCAGAAGAGAGAGAAUUAGUCCGUCUUUAUAGACUGACUUUCCUCGCAUCAAAGCUUUCCGGUUCUCUUCCUUUAUGAAGAAAGGAAAGGCUUGUUAUCGACGAAGAAGAUCUUUAUACUGUUCAUCCUAAGAAAAGAAGUUUUCACUCGGUACAACUAUUCUAUGCUAGCAUAGCAUGCUUCUACUUAUGUUGUGUUGCAAAUUCCGGAUCAGGAACAAUCCUUUCUUAUUCGUUGAUGCCAGUCUAAAAAUCCGUACUUGUUGACUAAAUUUCGGCUUUCUAGCUUGAAGCUUAAGGGCUAAGGGAAAUUCAUCCUUGGAUCAAUGAAAUAGUUGAAUUAGCGUUGAUGCAAGAAGCAACCUCUUAUUGAAAUGACUUUAGGAAGUGCCUAACCUUUCUCCUUCGAUCCGAUCCUUUCUGUGACCCGAAAUGAACUUAUUGUCUCUUCGUCUCUUGCCUUUGAAUCGGAUAUUCCGAUGAAAGCGGAUUCUCUUUCCGUCCCUCGUCAUCGAGAGGAAGAAUCGCUAUCUAUCUAUCCAUAUACGUAUCAACAAAUGUGGUUCCAGGGAUCGGUCGAUUGCCCCUCACCAGCAGCUAGAGGAGGAGAAAGGAAUGAUGUCCCGGCCUGGGCUGGGCACCUAUCAGCCAACUAUUCCUUUUUGGAAUGGAAAGAAGAAAGGAUGGUCGUAGAUCACUGAUGUCGAAUUCACGAAAAAGAUCAUAUGUGAAAGAAUCGUCAGAUUAUGGGUUCCCGGAGUAGACGGAAUGGAGAAUGAAUGAAAUAGAAUAGUCUGGCAGAAUCGUAUGAUAGGGAAAGUGCGGAGCCUCCCACUUGUCUGGGUUACCGGGCUGGCUAACCUAACUAUGAAUUUCUAUCAAUGUCGGGAUAGACAGAGGUCUAGGAUAGUACGCUGUCGGAGUGAGACCGGGGUACAGUAACGAAGUUAGACCGAAAUGAACGACUCAAUUCCUCUAGAAGAAAGGAGAGAGAAAGAACAACCAAUUCUAUGAAACAAUAUCGUCAUUUACUAGAAUCGGUUGCUACUAGUCCGGGUUACCUCAGAGAUAGAGCCAUUAGGCGAGAAAAAACAACCUAGUUAGUGCACUAACUCAAACCUAGUUCUUGCACGAAAUGUCCUGCUAACAUAGGAGCACUCCUACUAAGAAAUGGAAGAGCAAAUUUCUUUCUGUUCGACGACACAAUGCCUCACCUGCCCUCUGCUACACAUCUCUUUCGUUCGCCCUAGACCCACCCACCAAAUGGAACUCUGCCCUUUUUGUUGGGUUAGAGCGAGUAUGAAGUCAGGGAGGAAGAAGAGGGAAGAAAUAAUAUAGUAAUAUUAACCUUUCCUUCGCUCUAUUCCCAAGUCCUGGGCUAAGCUGAGCUUCGAAGUCGGGCUUUCUUCCUAAUCUCAUCUACUGAAAAGGGGGCCGGGCGUAGCACGUUCUUUUUUGGGACACAUAGGCUAUUACAGACGCAUCAAAAAAGACUUUUCGAAGCGCGGAAUCCCAGAAUGGAAUCAUUGCAGAAGAAAGGUAUAAGGCUUGGGAACCGGAACAGGAUUAAGCCUUUAAGCAUGCAGAUGAGUGUUUGCUGUCAGCCCCAAUCCUUCGGUUUCCGGAUUGGAAUAAGGAGUUCCAUGUUCAUACUGACGCAUCACUCUAUGCCAUUGGAUGUAUGUUGGCGCAAGAAGGGCCGCUUGAUCACUCCAUCUACUUUGAAAGUAUACGACUUUCCGCUUGGGAAUUAUAAAACCACCGAACCUUCUUUAUCAUGAUUCGACCCAUACCUCAGACCUAAGAUCGAGCACCAGAGCUGCUCAUAACAACGUACCAAAAAGAAGAAUGCGAGAAGUUCAUAUUCUCCAGAUUCUACUAUAAACCAGGUAGUGAGGAUGAAAAAAAGCAUAAGCUACCUCGUUCGUGCUCCCGUCUUUCCCGCUGCCAUCUUCGGUGGAGUAACCAAGUUUUUCUUUCUCACUCCUUAUGUACUUUUUUUUACUUCAUCCAUACUUUUUGACUUUUUCUGAAGUGUGGGGCAAACGGCGCCCUCUACUUCUACUUCUAACUAAAGGCGAACAGCCGGCAUUGCAAGCAAAUAGAAAGCCCCCGCCCGUUUGAGCCGGAAAGCGUACCGGCUGUUUGAGUCGCAUCGCAAAAGGGCUGCUUUCUUAAUAUUAUUCUUAAUAUUAUUUAUAUAAUAAUAAUAAAUAAUCUAUAAACAAAAAGAAAAAGGGGAAAUCUUUUUUCUUCAAAAAUUCUUCAUUCCUGGGAAGAAGAAGAAGCAGAUAGGACAAAGGCCUUCUCUUUCCAUUCGCUCUACUCGAAGUGAGCGAAUUGCAUGUAGAGAUCCGUAGGGGCUUAUACUUUAAUUGGUUGAAACGUACCACUCAUAACGGUGAUAUUGUAGGUUCGAGCCCUACUAAGCCUAUCACCCCCUUCUUUUCACCUGAUACAAGGCAGUUAAAUACCCACCACCCUGCAGAUCUGAAUGAUGCGAUGGGAACCACACUGCUGCCAAUGCCCUUUGGGCAUGCCUCCUAUGAAUAUCACUCACCUACGCUCUUGGCGUAUGCCACCUUUGGGCAAUAUGGUGUAAUACGCAAAGCAGUUGAGCCAUAGCUCUUCGAUUGCUAUAUUCUUGCAAUAGAGAAGGUGUGGUUUAUCCUUUAAGAGAGAGUAAAUGUGAAGGUUCGGAUUGAAUAUCUUUACAAUACAUCCUUGGGGCACCAUAGUAUGUCGGGAAUAAGGGGGUCAUAGUGAACGUAACCACUCCCUUGGUUGGGGGCUAUGAAUCCCCUAUCCUUUUAAUUUUUUGAUUCCCAGGUCUUUUUUAUUAUAACUGUUGGAAUAUUUUUGUUGACGACUUAGUCAGGGUGGUUCACUAUUUCUUUGUUGAAGGCGUUGUUAAGCCCUAACGUUUGAAUUCCAAUUUCAUUGCCCUGACAAAACUUUAUGAUCCCCACUUCCAGAAAAAAACUGAAAAGAUGGGGCGGUCGGGGACUUGAAUGAAUGUUAUUAGUCGUGAAUUUGAACUUUUUGGUAUUCUUUUGAUAUAUUUGCAAGAACAUUCUAUGGUUUUAAUAAGAGGAGGUAGAGUGAAAGAUUUUUUGGCUAAAUAAUAAUUUGGUUAUGCCCAGCCCACUAAUGGGGGGCGGUGGCUAAUCCGUACACGCAGUGGGAGGUGACAGCCAGAAAUGAGAUUUGGGGAACAAAGUCAAUUGAUGCGCUCUUAAAGGGAGAAGACAGGAGCUUUGCGCUUAGAGAAGUCCCUUGGCCGGACAGAGCGCAUCUUCUUUUGCUCAUUUUUCAGGGCCUUGCCAUGUUGGCCUACCAAAUAAACAGGAUUUUUUUGAUUGAUGAGCUUAUGGGUCAUUAACUAAAGACCUUAAAGUCGUGACCCAUGAGAUAGCUGAGGAAAGCGAUAUCGCGCGUAGACAUCAAGCCGUAGCGCGUGAACCAGCAACCCCUCUUUAUGAUGCUUUCCACUUUUUUAAGAGGAUUCAGUUAUUGAGUCGGUGAGCUAAUCUCACCUUUUCUCUAGACAUUGUGAGUUAUUUCGAUCAUGACAAUGAAGCAAGUAAAGUGUAGCACUGAACUAGCAAAAAGAAUUAAUGAGAUUAUGGGGCUUCGGUUCCAUCAAUUUUGACUUUAUUUUACUUAAUAGAAAGAGGUUGCAAAAAAGGAAGAGAAUGGAUCCACUGAAAAAACUUUGUUUGGAAUCUAACUCAGAGAGGCAGUAUUGAGUCCAUACAGACUCUAAAUUCGUCUAGCGCUGCAAACCAUAUUGGAUUACUAGAUAAAGAGCUAGUGAUCACCCAUGAGGAAAUGGGCAUUGUCUAAAUCCCUAUUUUAAGAAGUUAAAAGAACGUUUUCACUAUAUCCUUUACAAGCUUUUACACGAAGCAAUGAAUGGGUUGCUCGACGGCAUUCAUCUAUCUUUUCAGUAAAGAGAGUCUUUCAAGUAAGCCCGCCUAACAUGAAAGUCAAGCCUUUCACUUUAUUGUUCAAGUCCUGCCUUUAGAGAAAAGGGUAAAGGUCGGUUUGUUGUUUUGAAAGAUUCUCGCACAUGAUUCAGUUUGCCUUUGUCAAAUAAAUAAAGUGGAUGGAGAGCCUUCUUAUCCUUUUAGGUUUGACCUCUCUCUCCCACUUUCCACCCCCUAAGCUUUACUAAAAAAAGGGUUAUCAAUACCGUCAGAACCUUGCAUUUGUGGGUAAGUGCCCCUCCGCGGUAAGGAAUUGACUUUUUUUCUUUCUCUGCAGUGUUAUAGUAUGCUUGGACUCUAUCUCUGUUGUCUGGCUUUCAUGAAGAAAGAUUGAAAGUGUCUUCUUUGAGCGACUGCGUACCUCAUGUCAAAGAUGUUUGUGUACUUUAGAAUUCAAAAUAGGACUAUUAGCACUGGUCUCUAGCCACCUAGAACUACCAGAGACUCGAUCCAUCUCAGGAACAUUCAAAAUACUAAAGCCACCUGAAACUCACUGAUUGUCUCAUGCCACCUCGGAAGAUAAGACAUAUUCUCAGAUAGAAAAGAAAGGACUUACCACUUGGCCACACUCAGAAGCCAGAG
Molecule: long non-coding RNA, 9303 nt
Filed under: Capsicum annuum
Lineage: Eukaryota; Viridiplantae; Streptophyta; Magnoliopsida; Solanales; Solanaceae
Description: long non-coding RNA (CANN_LNC021267)
Rfam family: tRNA (bases 7093-7166)
Source: RNAcentral